Non-coding RNA from Syphacia muris, 159 nucleotides. The record is from Rfam. Lineage: Eukaryota; Metazoa; Nematoda; Chromadorea; Rhabditida; Oxyuridae.
AAACUUACCUGGCGCCGGGACCAGGGUGAUCACGGACGCCCUGGCCCCAGGUGGAGGCUCGCCCUUGCACUCUGGCGGGUUGAAGCCUGCGACGAUCCCUAAUCGGGCUCGCUCGGGCGCGUAGUUUUUGCCAGUGGGGAGGUCUUCGGACCAUCCCUU